This 412-nucleotide ribosomal RNA is filed under the name uncultured bacterium. Its description in RNAcentral is "bacterial SSU rRNA". It matches the Rfam family "Bacterial small subunit ribosomal RNA", at positions 78 to 524 of the family's 1533-position model. The record is from RNAcentral.
GAUCGCCCCCAAUGGGAUCGGCAGACUGUGAGAGUAACACGUGGUCCACGUGCCCUUCAGUUCGGAACACCCAGGUAAACUUGGGCUAAUACCGAAUACGUCCGUAAUGAGAAAGAUUUAUCGCUGAAGGAUCGGCCCGCGUCUGAUUAGCUUGUUGGUGAGGUAACGGCUCACCAAUGCGACGAUCAGUAUCUGGUCUGAUAGGAUGAUCAUUCUCACUGGGACUGAUACACGGUCCAGACUCCUACGGGAGGCAUCAGUGGGGAAUAUUGGACAAUGGGCGCAAGCCUGAUCCAUCCAUGCCGCGUGGAUGAUGAAUGCCCUAGGGUUGUAAAGUCCUUUCGGCGGGGAAGAUAAUGACUGUAUCCGUAUAAGAAGCCCCGGCUAACUUCGUGCCAGCAGCCGCGGUAAU